CAUCCAAGGGCUGCCUGAUCCUAUAACUGUCUGCAUCAUUCCAAAAUGUACUGGUCUGUAGUCCUUACCCUGAUCACAAUCUCCUGGACAUGUUGCAGGUCCCAGCCCAGCCUGUCUCAGCCUCCCACAGAGUCUGUGUCUCUGGGACAAACAACCAAACUGCCGUGCACUAUGAGUGGGGGCAGCAUCAGCAGCUACUGGGUGUACUGGCACCAGCAGCGACCUGGAACUGCUCCACGAUACCUUCUGAGAUACUAUUCUGAUUCUAGCAAGCACCAAGGCACUGGGGUCCCAGCUCGGUUCUCUGGGUCCAAAGACAAUUCUCAGAACAUCUGUUACUUAACCAUCUCUAGUGUCCAGGCAGAGGAGGAUGCAGAUUAUUACUGUGCUAUAUGGGAUAGCAGUAACAGAGUACACAGUGAUACAGUUAUAGAAGAAACUGAAACAAUAACUUUCUGCAUUACCAGAACUGUGUGUACAGCUGCACUAAGUAUAAAUACUACUGCUCACAGUAAGAUGUGGCCAUUAAACAUAUUUUAA
Non-coding RNA from Protopterus annectens (West African lungfish), 540 nucleotides. NCBI's taxonomy places the organism in Eukaryota, Metazoa, Chordata, Ceratodontiformes, Protopteridae. The record is from the annotation of a RefSeq genome assembly.